RNAcentral lists this ribosomal RNA (735 nucleotides) under bacterium enrichment culture clone WG_319. RNAcentral's name for it is "bacterial SSU rRNA". It matches the Rfam family "Bacterial small subunit ribosomal RNA", at positions 65 to 811 of the family's 1533-position model. The record is from RNAcentral.
GACGGAAGUUUUCGGAUGGAAGUCUAUUUGACUGAGCGGCGGACGGGUGAGUAACGCGUGGGUAACCUACCCUAUGCAGGGGGAUAACAACUGGAAACGGUUGAUAAUACCGCAUAAGCGCACGAAACCGCAUGGUUUUGUGUGAAAAGCCGAGACGGCAUAGGAUGGACCCGCGUCUGAUUAGGCAGUUGGUGGGGUAACGGCCUACCAAACCGACGAUCAGUAGCCGACCUGAGAGGGUGACCGGCCACAUUGGGACUGAGACACGGCCCAAACUCCUACGGGAGGCAGCAGUGGGGAAUAUUGCACAAUGGGGGAAACCCUGAUGCAGCGACGCCGCGUGAGCGAAGAAGUAUUUCGGUAUGUAAAGCUCUAUCAGCGGGGAAGAAGAAAGACGGUACCUGACUAAGAAGCCCCGGCUAACUACGUGCCAGCAGCCGCGGUAAUACGUAGGGGGCAAGCGUUAUCCGGAUUUACUGGGUGUAAAGGGAGCGCAGGCGGCAUGGCAAGCCAGAAGUGAAAACCCGGGGCUCAACCCCGUGGAUUGCUUUUGGAACUGUUAAGCUAGAGUGCAAGAGGGGCAAGCGGAAUUCCUAGUGUAGCGGUGAAAUGCGUAGAUAUUAGGAGGAACACCGGUGGCGAAGGCGGCUUGCUGGACUGUAACUGACGCUGAGGCUCGAAAGCGUGGGGAGCAAACAGGAUUAGAUACCCUGGUAGUCCACGCCGUAAACGAUG